UACGGGGGGAGCAAGCGUUGUUCGGAUUUACUGGGCGUAAAGGGCGCGUAGGCGGCCAGCACAAGUCAGUUGUGAAAUCUCCGAGCUUAACUCGGAAAGGUCAACUGAUACUGUGCGGCUAGAGUGCGGAAGGGGCAACUGGAAUUCUUGGUGUAGCGGUGAAAUGCGUAGAGAUCAGGAAGAACACCAGUGGCGAAGGCGCUCUGCUAGGCCGUAACUGACACUGAGGGACGAAAGCUAGGGGAGCGAAUGGG
This 254-nucleotide ribosomal RNA is filed under the name uncultured bacterium. RNAcentral describes it as "partial 16S ribosomal RNA". It matches the Rfam family "Bacterial small subunit ribosomal RNA", at positions 524 to 776 of the family's 1533-position model. The record is from RNAcentral.